AAGAACUAGUACAGAUAACACUGAAAAUGGACAUGACAACACUGCAGCUCUGCAGUGACGCCUCACCUGAAAAUUGCAAACAGGACUUCUUUUUAAUCAAUGCAUGUGUAGAUGGUGUAUUUUUUCCAAAGAGUCCCAGGGAAUUACUAUCU
Long non-coding RNA from Parus major (Great Tit), 152 nucleotides. RefSeq lists it as uncharacterized. The record is from RefSeq and is a predicted model, not a curated record. Lineage: Eukaryota; Metazoa; Chordata; Aves; Passeriformes; Paridae. The transcript has 3 exons.